Molecule: small RNA, 759 nt
Filed under: Mycoplasmoides pneumoniae M129
Lineage: Bacteria; Bacillati; Mycoplasmatota; Mycoplasmoidales; Mycoplasmoidaceae
Description: Mycoplasma pneumoniae M129 ncRNA
Source: RNAcentral
AAGGGAUAACCAAGAGCAAAAUAGGUGUCAUUUUGUAAAUCAGAAGAUGACGUACUUGCAAACAAGUUUGUACUAUCACCUAAGGCCUUAUAGGUAGCAAUGGCGGGUUUGAUAAAGUUUUCCCAUACUUGGUAAUCCAACUUGUUGUUUAAGUACAAGGGUACUUCUAACACGGCAAAAUCAGCAUAAGGUUUUAAACCAACUUCCGGACAAAUUUCAUUUAAGGAUUUCCAAUGUUUAUUGUCAAACCGAUAAUCAACAAAGUCCACCGCUGCAUAAGCCAUCUUUGGUAAAGCUGCUAGUUGGACAUCAACAAAUGCGUGUUUGACAUUCGUGUACAGACCAAAUAAACUGGGAUCAGUGUAUUUACCAAUUCGAAAACUAGUGGUUAAAUCUUGGGUAUUAUCGACUUGGUUAUAAGGCGGGUAGUCGUGCGGGUUCUUUAAAGUGUCAGCGACAUGGAAGUUAGUCGCUAAAUAGGCAGUGAACUUAUUUUCGUUUGUACUAGUAUCCUUUCAAUCAAUUAACCAACCAGUCCCGUAAGUAUUUCACCGUUGUGACGUUAAAGUUAACGAAAAGCUUAAGUUAUAAAGCUGGUGGUAAAAGUCAGUUGGUUUGGGAACGGUAUUAGUAGCCCACUUUGUUUGGUAUUCAGCGCGCGGUACCUUUUCUAAUUGCACAAUCGUGGCACAUCCACUAAGCGGUACGGCAAAUAAACAAGACUAGCACUAACAGAAAAACGCCACAUACACAAACCUA